UUCAUUCCGCUAAAAAUUUUCUCGUUGACAACAUUAAUCUCGAUUAUUCCUGCCGCAAACGACAUUUUUCAUUGCGAAUUCUUGAUCUUCCUUCGUGGUUGCAGUGAAGAGAUUUGUUAUGGUCCUUGAAAGCUGAUUGGAGAAGGAGAAAGUGAUGAAGAGCCACACAGUUGCCCUCAUACUCCUUGUUUUUGUUCUGAUUCAAUGUACUUUCAUCGAAUCUUUGUUUUGGCGUCGCCGUCGCCGUCGACAAAGCAGUUGCAACUACCCAAAAUCACAAUACGGAAAUAAUGGUCAACGAAGUGACUAUUUUUAUGGCACAACAAGUCUCUUUAAAGGCAGAAAACGGUUUUGGGGCAAAUGGAAACUUCGCCAUAGCAUGAUCCUGUUCCGUGGAAAGAUCUUUGAGUGGGGUUUGGGAAGUCCGAAAACCUACAAAAUGGAUCGGAGCCCAAGUCAAUGUGGAAUACGUUGGAGUAAGCGUAGUAAAGGCACGAGCAAAUGCCGCUUGAGCGAUGCAGAGACCUGGACCCGAAAUUAUCGUCUACGCUACGGCAGGUACAGGCUGUUCAGCAACAACUGUCAUUACUUCGUUGACCGAUUCAAGAAAUACCUGAAAACCGAUUGUGGACGUUGAGGAUAAUGCAAAUAAGAACUUUUCUUUGAUAAUGAUCUGGACUUUUCUUAGAACUUGAUGUGAUACAUAUAUUGAUUAUUGGGCAAUAGUAUUAGCAAACAUAAACCUGCAUGGGACUUGUAGUAUUUGAAAGAUUUUUUUGCAAUCGCAAAAUAUCCCAUUAAUUAGCAAUAAAAAGGCGAUUUCAGUUU
This 828-nucleotide long non-coding RNA is filed under the name Dendronephthya gigantea. RNAcentral describes it as "uncharacterized LOC114515688, transcript variant X4". Lineage: Eukaryota; Metazoa; Cnidaria; Anthozoa; Malacalcyonacea; Nephtheidae. The record is from RNAcentral.